AUUGAACGCUGGCGGCAUGCCUAACACAUGCAAGUCGAACGGUAACGCGGGGGCAACCCUGGCGACGAGUGGCGGACGGGUGAGUAAUACGUAGGAAUCUGCCCAUUUGUGGGGGAUAACCCGGCGAAAGCCGGGCUGAUACCGCAUACGCUCUACGGAGGAAAGCGGGGGAUCGUAAGACCUCGCGCUAAUGGAUGAGCCUACGUCGGAUUAGCUAGUUGGUAGGGUAACGGCCUACCAAGGCGACGAUCCGUAGCUGGUCUGAGAGGACGAUCAGCCACACUGGGACUGAGACACGGCCCAGACUCCCACGGGAGGCAGCAGUGGGGAAUAUUGGACAAUGGGGGCAACCCUGAUCCAGCAAUGCCGCGUGUGUGAAGAAGGCCUGCGGGUUGUAAAGCACUUUCAGAGGGGAAGAAAAAUCGGAGCUAACACCUCCGGUCUUGACGUUACCCUUAGAAGAAGCACCGGCUAACUCCGUGCCAGCAGCCGCGGUAAUACGGAGGGUGC
RNAcentral lists this ribosomal RNA (510 nucleotides) under uncultured bacterium. RNAcentral's name for it is "bacterial SSU rRNA". It matches the Rfam family "Bacterial small subunit ribosomal RNA", at positions 29 to 535 of the family's 1533-position model. The record is from RNAcentral.